UACAGGGGGGGCAAGCGUUGUUCGGAAUUACUGGGCGUAAAGGGCUCGUAGGUGGCCAACUAAGUCGGACGUGAAAUCCCUCAGCUUAACUGGGGAACUGCAUCCGAUACUGGAUGGCUUGAGUUUGGGAGAGGGAUGCGGAAUUCCAGGUGUAGCGGUGAAAUGCGUAGAUAUCUGGAGGAACACCGGUGGCGAAGGCGGCAUCCUGGACCAACACUGACACUGAGGAGCGAAAGCGUGGGGAGCGAACAGG
Molecule: ribosomal RNA, 253 nt
Filed under: uncultured bacterium
Lineage: Bacteria
Description: partial 16S ribosomal RNA
Rfam family: Bacterial small subunit ribosomal RNA
Source: RNAcentral